This 439-nucleotide ribosomal RNA is filed under the name uncultured bacterium. RNAcentral describes it as "bacterial SSU rRNA". It matches the Rfam family "Bacterial small subunit ribosomal RNA", at positions 360 to 793 of the family's 1533-position model. The record is from RNAcentral.
AAUAUGCACAAUGGGGGAAACCCUGAUGCAGCCAUGCCGCGUGUGUGAAGAAGGCCUUCGGGUUGUAAAGCACUUUCAGUAGGGAGGAAGGUAGUGUAGUUAACACCUGCAUUAUUUGACGUUACCUACAGAAGAAGCACCGGCUAACUCCGUGCCAGCAGCCGCGGUAAUACGGAGGGUGCGAGCGUUAAUCGGAAUUACUGGGCGUAAAGCGCAUGCAGGUGGCCUGUUAAGUCAGAUGUGAAAGCCCGGGGCUUAACCUCGGAAUUGCAUUUGAAACUGGCAGGCUAGAGUCUUGUAGAGGGGGUAGAAUUUCAGGUGUAGCGGUGAAAUGCGUAGAGAUCUGAAGGAAUACCAGUGGCGAAGGCGGCCCCCUGGACAAAGACUGACGCUCAGAUGCGAAAGCGUGGGGAGCAAACAGGAUUAGAUACCCUGGUAG